This 253-nucleotide ribosomal RNA is filed under the name uncultured Rikenellaceae bacterium. Its description in RNAcentral is "partial 16S ribosomal RNA". It matches the Rfam family "Bacterial small subunit ribosomal RNA", at positions 524 to 776 of the family's 1533-position model. The record is from RNAcentral. Lineage: Bacteria; Pseudomonadati; Bacteroidota; Bacteroidia; Bacteroidales; Rikenellaceae.
UACGGAGGAUCCAAGCGUUAUCCGGAUUUAUUGGGUUUAAAGGGUGCGUAGGCGGUUUUAUAAGUUAGAGGUGAAAAUUCGGGGCUCAACUCCGGACGUGCCUCUAAUACUGUAUGACUAGAGAAUAGAUGCGGUAGGCGGAAUGUAUGGUGUAGCGGUGAAAUGCUUAGAUAUCGCGCAGAACCCCGAUUGCGAAGGCAGCGUACCGGCUCCACACUGACGCUGAGGCACGAAAGCGUGGGUAUCGAACAGG